RNAcentral lists this ribosomal RNA (253 nucleotides) under uncultured bacterium. RNAcentral describes it as "partial 16S ribosomal RNA". It matches the Rfam family "Bacterial small subunit ribosomal RNA", at positions 524 to 776 of the family's 1533-position model. The record is from RNAcentral.
UACGGAGGGUGCGAGCGUUGUCCGGAAUCACUGGGCGUAAAGGGCGCGUAGGUGGCACGGGUAGUCGUCGGUGAAAGCUCAGGGCUCAACCCUGAGUCGGCCGGUGAUACUCCCGAGCUCGAGUGUGGUAGAGGCCAAUGGAAUUCCGGGUGUAGCGGUGGAAUGCGUAGAGAUCCGGAAGAACACCGGUGGCGAAGGCGGUUGGCUGGGCCACAACUGACACUGAUGCGCGACAGCGUGGGGAGCAAAACGG